CCUACGGGAGGCAGCAGUGGGGAAUAUUGGUCAAUGGGGGGAACCCUGAUCCAGCGACGCCGCGUGAGUGAAGAAGUAUCUCGGUAUGUUAAGCUCCAUCAGCAGGGAAGAAAAUGACGGUACCUGACUAAGAUGCACCGGCUAACUACGUGCCAGCAGCCGCAGUAAUACGCAGGGGGCAAGCGUUAUCCGGAUUUACUGGGCGUAAAGGGAGCGUAGACGGUGCAGCAAGUCUGAUGUGAAAGGUCGGGGCCCAACCCCGGGACUGUAUUGGAAACUGUUGAACUGGAGUACAGGAGAGGUAGGCGGAAUGCCUGGUGUAGCGGUGAAAUGCGUAGAUAUUAGGAAGAACACCGGUUGCGAAGGCAGCUUACUGGACUAUAACUGACGUUGAGGCUCGAAAGCGUGGGGAGCAAACAGGAUUAGAUACCCUAGUAGUC
This 440-nucleotide ribosomal RNA is filed under the name uncultured bacterium. RNAcentral's name for it is "partial 16S ribosomal RNA". It matches the Rfam family "Bacterial small subunit ribosomal RNA", at positions 338 to 795 of the family's 1533-position model. The record is from RNAcentral.